RNAcentral lists this ribosomal RNA (437 nucleotides) under uncultured Clostridium sp. Its description in RNAcentral is "partial 16S ribosomal RNA". It matches the Rfam family "Bacterial small subunit ribosomal RNA", at positions 341 to 792 of the family's 1533-position model. Lineage: Bacteria; Bacillati; Bacillota; Clostridia; Eubacteriales; Clostridiaceae. The record is from RNAcentral.
ACGGAAGGCAGCAGUGGGGAAUAUUGGGCAAUGGGGGGAACCCUGACCCAGCAACGCCGCGUGAAGGAAGAAGGCUUUCGGGUUGUAAACUUCUUUGACGAGGGACGAAACGAAUGACGGUACCUCGAAAACAAGCCACGGCUAACUACGUGCCAGCAGCCGCGGUAAUACGUAGGUGGCAAGCGUUAUCCGGAUUUACUGGGUGUAAAGGGCGCGUAGGCGGGGAUGCAAGUCAGAUGUGAAAUCCAUGGGCUUAACCCAUGAACUGCAUUUGAAACUGUAUUUCUUGAGUGUCGGAGAGGUAGACGGAAUUCCUAGUGUAGCGGUGAAAUGCGUAGAUAUUAGGAGGAACACCAGUGGCGAAGGCGGUCUACUGGACGAUAACUGACGCUGAGGCGCGAAAGCGUGGGGAGCAAACAGGAUUAGAUACCCUGGUA